GACCACAUUUUAUUCACCCAAAAAUCGAUGGAGUGUAAGAGCUGACAGAUCAAUGAUGACCACAAAGGCAAUUUCUUAAUUCCUGGCUAGGUUUUCUGGCAAUUUCUCACCAACCCCACCAACCCCCUCCUGGGCACGGCAGUUUUGGCUUUUAGGGGUGUCGAUUUUAUCAACACAGGCUGCGGCUAAUCCAACAAAUUAAUGGAAAAGACACAGAAGUUUAUCUGCUUCAUAAAGGAAUUUCAUGUCAAACUCAUGAGUUUUGUUCUCAACAACUUGAGAACUUAGUGGUUCCAGCAAAUUUGAUUGAAGCUGCUUUUUUGGUUUCCCAUCUUUGUCUCUGAUGGUUCC
This 351-nucleotide long non-coding RNA is filed under the name Populus trichocarpa (black cottonwood). RNAcentral describes it as "long non-coding RNA (PTRI_LNC003796)". Lineage: Eukaryota; Viridiplantae; Streptophyta; Magnoliopsida; Malpighiales; Salicaceae. The record is from RNAcentral.